RNAcentral lists this ribosomal RNA (416 nucleotides) under uncultured eukaryote. Its description in RNAcentral is "SSU rRNA". It matches the Rfam family "Eukaryotic small subunit ribosomal RNA", at positions 592 to 1013 of the family's 1831-position model. The record is from RNAcentral.
CAAUAGCGUAUAUUAAAACUGUUGCGGUUAAAACGCUCGUAGUUGGAUAUUUGUUGGAGAGCGCUGGUCCACCCCAGCGGUGCGUACUUGGUGCUUCUUUGACAUCUUACUGGAGAAAGUACGUGCGCUUCACUGCGUGCGUGCAUGAACCAGAACUUUUACUUUGAGGAAAUGAGAGUGUUUCAAGCAGGCCAUUGCCAUGAAUACGUUAGCAUGGAAUAAUAACAUAGGACCUUGAGUCGUUGUUGUUGGUUGACGACACAAGGUAAUAAAAAUAGGGAUAGUUGGGGGGCAUUCGUAUUACAAUGUCAGAGGUGAAAUUCUUGGAUUAUUGUACGACGGACUACUGCGAAAGCAUUUGCCAAGGAUGUUUUUUUAAUCAAGAACGAAAGUUAGGGGAUCGAAGAUGAUUAGAU